CGUAACAAGGUUUCCGUAGGU
This 21-nucleotide non-coding RNA is filed under the name Arabidopsis thaliana (thale cress). RNAcentral also lists the same sequence under 1 other name. Lineage: Eukaryota; Viridiplantae; Streptophyta; Magnoliopsida; Brassicales; Brassicaceae. The record is from RNAcentral.